CCUACGGGGGGCAGCAGUGAGGAAUAUUGGUCAAUGGACGAGAGUCUGAACCAGCCAAGUAGCGUGAAGGAUGACUGCCCUUUGGGUUGUAAACUUCUUUUAUAAAGGAAUAAAACGAGGCACGUGUGCCUUUUUUGCAUGUACUUUAUGAAUAAGGAUCGGCUAACUCCGAGCCAGCAGCCGCGGUAAUACGGAGGAUCCGAGCGUUAUCCGGAUUUUUUGGGUUUAAAGGGAGCGUAGAUGGGUUGUUAAGUCGGUUGUGAAAGUUUGCGGCUCAACCGUAAAAUUGCAAUUGAUACUGGCAGUCUUGAGUACAGUUGAGGUAGGCGGAAUUCGUGGUGUAGCGGUGAAAUGCUUAGAUAUCACGAAGAACCCCGAUUGCGAAGGCAGCUUACUAAACUGUGACUGACAUUGAUGCUCGAAAGUGUGGGUAUCAAACAGGAUUAGAUACCCGAGUAGUC
Molecule: ribosomal RNA, 461 nt
Filed under: uncultured bacterium
Lineage: Bacteria
Description: partial 16S ribosomal RNA
Rfam family: Bacterial small subunit ribosomal RNA
Source: RNAcentral